UGGUGGGUAGUUUGACUGGGGCGGUCUCCUCCUAAAGAGUAACGGAGGAGCACGAAGGUUGGCUAAUCCUGGUCGGACAUCAGGAGGUUAGUGCAAUGGCAUAAGCCAGCUUGACUGCGAGCGUGACGGCGCGAGCAGGUGCGAAAGCAGGUCAUAGUGAUCCGGUGGUUCUGAAUGGAAGGGCCAUCGCUCAACGGAUAAAAGGUACUCCGGGGAUAACAGGCUGAUACCGCCCAAGAGUUCAUAUCGACGGCGGUGUUUGGCACCUCGAUGUCGGCUCAUCACAUCCUGGGGCUGAAGUAGGUCCCAAGGGUAUGGCUGUUCGCCAUUUAAAGUGGUACGCGAGCUGGGUUUAGAACGUCGUGAGACAGUUCGGUCCCUAUCUGCCGUGGGCGCUGGAGAACUGAGGGGGGCUGCUCCUAGUACGAGAGGACCGGAGUGGACGCAUCACUGGUGUUCGGGUUGUCAUGCCAAUGGCACUGCCCGGUAGCUAAAUGCGGAAGAGAU
This 507-nucleotide ribosomal RNA is filed under the name Escherichia coli. RNAcentral describes it as "partial 23S ribosomal RNA". It matches the Rfam family "Bacterial large subunit ribosomal RNA", at positions 2259 to 2765 of the family's 2925-position model. The record is from RNAcentral. RNAcentral also lists the same sequence under 3 other names. Lineage: Bacteria; Pseudomonadati; Pseudomonadota; Gammaproteobacteria; Enterobacterales; Enterobacteriaceae.